RNAcentral lists this ribosomal RNA (520 nucleotides) under uncultured Streptomyces sp. RNAcentral describes it as "bacterial SSU rRNA". It matches the Rfam family "Bacterial small subunit ribosomal RNA", at positions 144 to 676 of the family's 1533-position model. Lineage: Bacteria; Bacillati; Actinomycetota; Actinomycetes; Kitasatosporales; Streptomycetaceae. The record is from RNAcentral.
CAAGCCCUGGAAACGGGGUCUAAUACCGGAUAUGACACAUUGCCGCAUGGUGGUGUGUGGAAAGCUCCGGCGGUGCAGGAUGAGCCCGCGGCCUAUCAGCUUGUUGGUGGGGUAGUGGCCUACCAAGGCGACGACGGGUAGCCGGCCUGAGAGGGCGACCGGCCACACUGGGACUGAGACACGGCCCAGACUCCUACGGGAGGCAGCAGUGGGGAAUAUUGCACAAUGGGCGAAAGCCUGAUGCAGCGACGCCGCGUGAGGGAUGACGGCCUUCGGGUUGUAAACCUCUUUCAGCAGGGAAGAAGCUUUCGGGUGACGGUACCUGCAGAAGAAGCACCGGCUAACUACGUGCCAGCAGCCGCGGUAAUACGUAGGGUGCAAGCGUUGUCCGGAAUUAUUGGGCGUAAAGAGCUCGUAGGCGGUUUGUCACGUCGGUUGUGAAAGCCCGGGGCUUAACCCCGGGUCUGCAGUCGAUACGGGCAGGCUAGAGUUCGGUAGGGGAGAUCGGAAUUCCUGGUGC